UCGUAGUGUUCGUGAGUUCGCGUCUCUUAUGCGCGUUGUUUAAAUUUCAAGCGUGAGAGUCGCUUCUUAAUGCUUUUCAACAAUGAUGGGUCUGACGACAGGAGCUGGUGCUGUGCAAGGUCCGCUUGCUGCGUGAGAAGAAAUAUGCAAACCAAGUGGGGGAAAGUCGGCCUCGGAGAUGGCAGGGAUGCUGUCCUGCCGAGUCCAACCGGUCCAUGAAGGUGCCUGGGUCUCCUUGUAGGACUGCUGGAUGCGGCUUCUCUCCAGAUGGAUGAACAGGGGGCAGGCCCCCUGGCACUGCCACCACCUUGUUACCAAAGCGGCUCGGGUGGACGCCAUCUCUGCUCAGGCAACUAGACCAGUUGUCCACGAGACCACCCAGGAAUGUGUAGCCGUACUCGUGGCAGUACUGCAUCAGGGCAGUGUUAAUCUUUAUGUAGUUAUCAUUAAGGUCAUGCAACCAAGAGGACUGAGCUUCCCAUGAGCUGUACUGAUUGUGCCCCCGAGGAAGAAUGGCAGAAAAAGCUACAUGCACCAUAGGAUUUCUUUCAAUGAUCCCCUGAGCGAGCUGGCAAUACUUGUCCAUGCACACGCUGACACUGUCAAAAGUGUUGUUAGUGCCAACGUGCACAAUAACAACAUCAAAACCAGCUAGCUUGUCAGCAAUCAUUGACAGCAAAUGAUCAAUCCUUACUCCUCUAUGCGCGGCAACACUGACUGACAAACUACGACGCGAUGGGAAAUACUGGUCCGUGUAUUUCACCAUCUAGUCGCCGGCAACCAAAACACGUGUCAUGUUGCAAGCAGUGCAAUCUAAAAUGACACCUAGAAGAAAAAAAAGACUACGAGAAAAUAAAUCUGAGCUUUUUCACAAACGAAAGGCGGCUACCUUCUAGUCAGCACUAUAUAUGUUGAAUCCAAGAAAUCCGCGCUAGGGUUGAACAAAGCAAGCGGUCGCGAAGAAGGACAGCAAAAUCGGCAAGCAAACACAAUCAAAAUACCAUCAAAAUACUUAUUAGAAUAGAUAUAAAUAAUGUUAGCAAAUAUAAAAUAACCCUGCAAAGCAGCUUUCGCACAUAUAAAAGGAUCAUGUUAAAGGCUUGCCAGGGUGCAGCAGUACCAGGCCUUGGGACCAGCGGCAGCAGAAAAGUACGACCCGCAAGCGCGGCUGACGGGAUGCGUACUGAAUGUAACGUGCGAACAAGCAAUCAAACCACGCGCCCUCGAAAAACCGGAAAUACACAUGCAUGUGACGUUGUCAUUUAGUGACGUCACUUCCGGGCGUUGCAGGAGUCUAUUCUGUGUGGGAUCGUCUAGGCACGGCCGCUCGAUGAAAGCGCACAGGUGCGGCCUGCCGUAUGCGGCGGAGACGGCGUAGCUCGCCUAGUGUUCCGGGCCACCGCAGCGGCGCCACCAGAAGGGGAGAGCAGCCGGAGAUAUGCCGGAGCGUGACAGCGCAGCUCGCAUGCUCUCGCCGCUACUUAAAGGGUGAUAAUAAAUUUUUUAUAUUGUUAAUCAUAUUAGUAAGCGUGACUAUCGAAUGUACCAGGUCGGCGAUGUUUCCACCAAAAUAUAGCAACUGUUCGUUUGUAACUAAAGUGGUUGCUUGGGCUAGUUCGCAUUGUGCGCGUCUGUUUCCUCCUUCCUUGGUCUAGGUAGCCGCGCGUUGCACCGGUCUUUGCCAUCAGGGGCAAACACAAAGCUAAAAUUGCAGUAACCUACUUUAUUCUGCUUCGCUGCUGGUGCAAAUUUUCGGCAGCGGCGUAUUUGUGUUCACAAUUACCCCGCUGUCGAGAACUUACACCCCAGCUAAGAAUAUAUAGUAAUUGGCUCUGUGUUCAGGUGGUUGAGCUUUUCACCACAAGCUGGUGCCACCAAUCUGGCCGCUCGCGUUUACGCCCCCGACCAUCCGGUAAUCCGCCCAAACCGCCCCGGUUUGCCGGAAUAGCCGACACGCUAAAAUGUCUCUGUUGAUUCUAUGGGGUACGUGAUAGUGCCGUGGAGCCAUCGGGCGUCCGGCUGUAAACCCCUCCAGCCGACGACAUGGCGUCAGAAGACGAUUCAUUACGAUCCCUCUCUUUUACGCGAGCCAGCAUUACUGCGAUUUUCAUUCCUUUUCAAUAAAAUUACAGCUAAUUUUCCCUGAGAGAAGCACAAUUUCCCUGAGUUUUCCCUGAGUAUUUCCAGACUAUUCAAAAUCCCUGAGAAUUCCCGAUUUUCCCGGUUGGUAGACACCCUGUAAAACUACCGGAAAGAUGCACACAGCAAGCACUGGGAUAUUACUAAAUAUUCUCUUUAAGGAAGAAAAUAUAUCAGGUGCCGGACACUCUUAAAGCUGUGUUAGACCUUUAACAUUGGACACUUGAGACUAACUAAUCGAAACGUUCUGUGUAAGGUGCUGUGCACACAUAUUUUGUGCAGGUGGUGCUUGUGGCAGAGCAGCCUGUGUGUUGGAUGCUGUGUGAAUAUCUUUACCGUUAUUUGGCUUCUUUACCACUGUAUGAUGGAAAAAUUAGACAGCGAGAAGCGUGCAUGCACAUGCAUGCCUAAGUGUACACAAAAUAAAGUUAAUCCAAACAAGGUGCCACUGCCAACGGAAUUUUCUUUCACGGCGCAGGUCUUUUUUUUCUUAUUUUAGAACACUGAUCCAUCAUGAUGCUGCUAAGCUUGAGACAGUGGGAUUGAAUUCCACGCACGGUGGCUGCAUUUCGAUAGAGGCAAAAUGCAAAAAUAUCCAUAUGCUGCCGGCGUUGUAGUGAAUUAAAAAAAAAGCUAGGUGGUCAAACGUAAUCUGGAGCCAGCCACUAUGGCGUGCCUCUUAACUAUAUGGUGGUUUUGGCGCUUUAAGCCUCGGAAUUAUUGUUUUGGUUAUAACGCUGGAGGUGCACAUAGGUAUCGUUCAUUACACUACAGUAUGCUGGAAAGCAAUUUACCUGUCGUACAAUGAAAGUGAUGUACCGCUUACGUACAUUUCCCCAUUUCUUGAUAUGAAAUGCUAUGAGGGCCUCUCUUGCCGCUGACUCUUCGACCUUUCUCACUGUCUUCAAUAUGAACUAUCCCAGUAGCUAUAACUAAAGCAAUGAGUUUCACUUUGCCAGUAAGUAAAUGGAAUGGGUGGAGUAGCAGGCCAGAGCCAUACUAUUGCAGGCAACGUGUUCACCUUCUUGUACAAAAGAUAUCGUGUCUCUCUCUCUGUUACAAGUAAAUUAUUGGCAGGGGAGAAACUCAAGAUAGGGGGUCACUUUACUUGAUCCCCCAUGGCGCCUGUGCAGCACUUUGAGCCGGAAAUAUGCACUUCAGCACAUGAUAAGCAACGGAAGUUGGCUGCCAGUAAUAAAAUCCCCUUCGAAACACGACUCUGCGCUUGGUCACAUCAACCCUCGGUAUUCUGUUAUUUGAAUGCAUUUUCACGACAGUGUCGCAAGAAAGUGGAUGCAGAUAACCUGCAAAAAAAGAAAGAAAGCCUUGGUGUGGGACAACCUUGCAGUAGACAAUCGCAAAGUCCAGUGGAGCUGCUGUGUAACACAUAAUACGAUUAUUAACAGGACAAACUUAAAAAAAUUGUUAGUGUAUACUGCUCGUAGGAUGGGAGCUUCAGAGGCCCAUGAGGAUCUAGAAAAAAAAAUUAAUUUAAGCAAGCAACACCUUGAAACUCCGCUCAGACACUGCACCCUUUCCCAUCUACGUGGCUGGAAAUGCCACCGAGCAGAUUAGUGUGGGUAAGAGGCCUAUGAGGCUAUUCAGUUUAAAUUUCGAGCCUUUAGAAUGUUGUGUGGUUUUGGAAGGUUCAGCGUUUUUUGUAAUUUGCACUACCAGAAACGUAGCUAUAUGCCCUCCAUUGAGACAUCAAAUAAAAGUAAAAGUAUGGCCUCUUCAUACAUAUGUGCUUCACUGUUUAACUGGCACUGGAAAAUGAGUACAAUGUCUUUGUUCAUUCAACUUCAGCACUGCCCCUCAUACAUUGAGCAUACUUGAUUUUUGGCUGCUGUUUGAGCAUUUGCGAUUAUCAGAAAUGCGGAUUCGCACUGAGUUUCGAAAAAUCGCGCAGCUGACAUGGUUUGUUGCAUGUAUGAUUCUGCAAACGCGAAUUCACCAUGUGAAACGGGAAUAUAGGAGUGAAACAUUGUGUGGCAAAAUUACUGAAUGAUGAAUAAUGCAAAAUACAUUCUGUCCAGCACUUUAAAUCACCGCAAAGUACAGUCACUAAAAGUUCAUCGGGGAUAGCUUUCAUUUAUGGAGCCACGUUUGAUACUGUUCUAAAACAAAAAAAAAAAAGAUUCAUGUUAGAAAGAACAUUGAAAAGGAGGGCAUGAAUGUCUACCAGUUUGUUAGAAAAUAAUGCGUUAUACAUGUGGAGCACUUGUAGUUGAUACAAGUGAUCGCGCCGCUAAAGAGAAAAUGGGGUUUUCAAUACGCGCCGCCUAGGCUAUCUUGACAUAAAAGUUGCGUGCGCAAGCUAGAAGUAGCACUGGACGAAAUUUUUCAGUCUGGAUAAGGGGAUAAAGGGACAUGAUAAGAAGGCGGUCGUGGUGUGCGAAGCGCUUCAAUCUACAAAAGCUGGGAUGAUAGUGGGACAUGGAGGGCUUCUCACACCCGUCAUAUCACCGCUGCAAUGAAGUGGCCUUUCCUUCUUUACGUCACUAUCUCUCUUCUAGGGGAAACAGUAGCAAGGCAUAGGCGCCACACAGGACGCAUAUUAAACAAACUAUCGUGUGACAUCCAGGGGAAAAAAAAGAUCAGUGCCAUUCCACUCUGUGAAGAAGGAUGACCAGUGAAGCUGUGCAUGUGGGCCUUCUCUUGGUUUGAUGUGUGGCAAGGUGAAUGCAGGACAGCAUGAAAAUAAACAGCUGUGCGCAAAAAAAAACAUGGGCAGAGGUAUGUUAGCUGUGUAAGGAAAGUAGCUUAUUCUGUUGCCUUGUCGUGUGGUUCAUCAUAUGGUGGCCAAAUGGGCAGAUCUCUGAAUGACAUAUUGUAUGAACAUUGAUAUACAAUGGAAAACAAGCUCUCAUGUCACAUUAGAGCUCAUUGUAAGGCUCAGAAGUACACUCCAGAAUUUGAUAGAACCUGUGUUUUGAGCAGAGCAGAUGAUAAACUGACAAGGCACAUUGGGUGAGCUUGAGAUCAAGAAGCGGGGUGAUGCUUGCAUCAGUGAACCCUCAGUUUCUCUAUCUACAAAGGAACUGACGUAUCUUGGGAGCGGCGCUUAGGAAGCUGUUCUGUAUCGUGUUUUCGUUGCUUGAUGCAGAUGACGGCACGGUUUUUUGUGUUGGUUUAACUCUUGCCAGGAGCUAUUUAUUCCUGUGUCAAGAAAUAAAACGCCUAGUUGUUAGUGCGCCUACGUGGUUGUCCCGUGUUGUAUUCCUUCGUCCGUCGUUUUAUUUGGCGCCUAACUCGUAAUCAUGUAUAACCGACUCACCCACCAGCACGUGCUCAAUAAUACCUAAUACUACAUAACUUUUGUCACAAGCUUGAGGUGAAUUUUUUGCUAUAUCACUGCAUCAUGGAAUAAUUGUUUAAGUUCAUAUAUUGUUUAUUUUGUGAUGUGUUGCAUUUUCUUCACUUGCAGUCAAAUGCUCUUUGAAUGUUUAUUUCGCAAACAUAUUUUGUUGUAUUGCAUUUUGUUUUUGUUCACUUGUAUUGGAACCUUGUUUUAUAUUUUGCAAUUUACUUUGUUGCAUUACGUUUCGAUAUUCACUUGCUUAGUAACCCUGUUCCUUACUAGUUUGCUUGUACUUUCAUUGUAAUAACUAAACCCCCUUAUCUUAUGCCCUUUGGGCCUGUAAGGUAUUUUAAGUAAAUAAAUAAAUAAAUAAAUAUCAUUGAGGGAAAUAAAAGUCUUGAAGGCAUCUCGUGCCAAUAAUUUAAAAGUGAGUGGUUCCUCCAGAUCAUUUCAAGUUAAUCAAGUGCAACACAUAGUGCAAAGAAAAUUAAGGCAAUGAAACUGUAAUUUCUAUCAUUAAGACAAUAUUAAAUUAUUAAAUAAAAAUGUCAAUGUGUUUUGCAAGUGUAUACAAUAGGUCCAGUGCAAGCUAAAGUUUACAAUGCAGUUGGUAAAUAUGUGCUUACUGUAAAUGAUACUUGAUCUCUGAAGCACGCAGCACUUGUAUGAAAGAGUAACGAGGACAACCAUUCCUUUAUGAAAAAGAGGCACUUUUUUUGCACAACUAGAAAUUACAUUCAGCAAUGUGAAUCGAUGUAUGUAUUGUUACGGGGAUGUUGGGAGUAUAAAACGGCUGUAUUUACAAUAUAUAUAAAAAUGAGAGCAUAGUUAAGAUGGCUGGCCACCAACAACACGCAGCAGCCAGCGUCCCGCGAUCUUCUUCUUCCAUUCUCUUCUUUUAUCCUUCCGUAACAGAACCACCGGCUGGUGAAGCGCUGUCUCGGCGCAUGGUUGGCGACGAAUUGCGAGCGAAGUAUGGCUUCAUCCGCGAAACGUGGACGACGUCAGCAGGCCUCGGACUUGAGGAUGCAUGAAACUGUAGCGGCAAAGUCUCGUAAUUUACGUCGUUAACUUGACGUAGAACUUCAUAAGGACCUGUGUAGCGAGAGAGAAGCUUCUGGGAGAGGCCAACCCGACGACAUGGUAACCAAAGGAGCACCCAAGCACCUGGCGCGAAGUUAACAUCGUGAUGGCACCUGUCAUAACACUGUUUCUGUAUGUGCUGUGAGGCUAAUAAACCAGAUCGGGCGA
This is a non-coding RNA of Dermacentor andersoni, 6691 nucleotides long. NCBI's taxonomy places the organism in Eukaryota, Metazoa, Arthropoda, Arachnida, Ixodida, Ixodidae. The record is from RefSeq and is a predicted model, not a curated record.